RNAcentral lists this ribosomal RNA (253 nucleotides) under uncultured bacterium. RNAcentral describes it as "partial 16S ribosomal RNA". It matches the Rfam family "Bacterial small subunit ribosomal RNA", at positions 524 to 776 of the family's 1533-position model. The record is from RNAcentral.
UACGUAGGGCGCAAGCGUUGUCCGGAAUUAUUGGGCGUAAAGCGUGCGCAGGCGGCUUUGCAAGACAGAUGUGAAAUCCCCGGGCUCAACCUGGGAACUGCAUUUGUGACUGCAUGGCUAGAGUGCGGCAGAGGGGGAUGGAAUUCCGCGUGUAGCAGUGAAAUGCGUAGAUAUGCGGAGGAACACCGAUGGCGAAGGCAAUCCCCUGGGCCUGCACUGACGCUCAUGCACGAAAGCGUGGGGAGCAAACAGG